AAAAAGAUCUGGUUCGUGGUGCAUCUACGGCCUCCCACCUGGGCAGGUGAGGCUGGGGUUAGCUGAGCUUACCUGGCUGGCAGAAAGGUCCUGUUUACAUAAAACCUCUUAUUUUUAGGGAGCAACUGAAUGGAUGAGGGUUUCCUGCCCCCAAAUAUGAGGCAUAAUUAAGAGCCCUUCCAUGUUUUAUCUACUUGGGAGAAAAGUGGUCAGGCGCUUGUUCCAGCCCAGAAUGCAGACAGCCUCGAAUUUUCUGGAAGGAUGAAUCGAAGCUAUCAGCUGAGGCCGUUAGGCUAGCGGGCCCGAACAGUUGUGGCAUUCCUGUGGGGUUCCAUGGGGCCAGUGCUGAGUCGUAUAAAUGGAAGCACUCACGCGGGUUCUACUUUGGGAACAAUAGUCCAUGUCACCUAAGUUCCUCGUGGACGCUGCUCUGGGACGUUUUCUGGAACAGAAAUUUGAAAGAUUCCUCAAGGGCUACCGAGCAACGUCAAAGGGCGCUGUGUUCCACUCACCAGGAAGGGCGGCUGCGGACUGUGGAAGGAGUCUGGGCAGCUGUGUCCGAGGGCUGGAUGCGGUUGUCCUUCUGAGAUGGGUUAUCACGUUUCCCCAGGAAGCCUCUGUGGGAGAGUCUGCAGCCGCGGGGUUAUCGCGCUGAGCUCCCUGCACCGCGAGGCACUAAGCAAUGCCAUGAGAAAGAACAUUCCUGAACUGCGGGGCCACAGUAACGUGCCCUGUGUGAGGAGUGAGCGUGGUGUGCACCUGCUGCCUUCUAGAAAGUGGGAGCCGCAGCCGAGAUGGGGAUUUCUGCCUCAGCCCUCUGUGCAGGUAUCAAUUUAAAAAUGAGAUGGAAUAAAAGAGCAGCCUUCCAUGGAACCCUCUGAGACAUCUAGGAAUAGGAGUCUAGGAAACUAACCUACAUACAACCUACCAAGACUGACUCAUGAAGGAAUAGAAAAUUUGAACAGACCAAUGAGUAAGGAGAUUGAAUCUAAUAAAAAAAAGUCUCCCACCAGAGGUGGGGCGCCUGGAUGGCUCAGUCAGUUGAGUGACUCUUGAUUUUGGCUGAGGUCAUGAUCUCAUGGUUAUGGGAUUGAACCCUGCGUCUGGCUCCAUGCUGGGUGUGGAAUCUGCUUGGGAUUCUCUCUCUCUCCCUCUGCCUCUCUCCUGCUUGCUCUCUCAAAAAAUCUCCCACCAAAGAAAAGCCCAGUAACAGAUGGUUUCACCAGUGAAUUCUACCAAACAUUAAAGAAUAACACCAAUCUUUCUCAAACUCUUCCAAAAAACCGGAGAGGGAAUACUCUCAAACUUAUUUUAGGAGGCCAGGGUACCCUGAUACCAAAGCCAGGUAAGGA
Neofelis nebulosa (Clouded leopard) is the source of this 1352-nucleotide long non-coding RNA. RefSeq lists it as uncharacterized. Lineage: Eukaryota; Metazoa; Chordata; Mammalia; Carnivora; Felidae. The transcript has 2 exons. The record is from RefSeq and is a predicted model, not a curated record.